UGACCGUUCGUGGAAGUAACAAAAAGAACACACUUUGAUAUCAAAAAAAUAAAGAAAGAAAGAAAGAAAAACACACACACACAAGUCUUUCUUCAGCAAAAGGGAGAAGGAAAAGAAGAAAAAAAAGUCUUCCUUUUUCCCCAAAACAGUUUCUGCUGGUGAUUUGAUUAUUUGGAGGGGUUUUUUCCCCCACUGAUGUUCCGGAAUCGAGAUUUCGAUAUAUAUAACUGUUGUAGAUCAAAUGCCAUCUUUAAGAAUGAAGACGAAAUCAAGCACGGUUUCUUUAAGAGACAAAAAUAGUCUCCGUGUGUGUCAGAGGUCUAGCAUGAUUUGCAAAAGGCCAUGCUGUCAUGUCAGGGUUUCCCAGCAGGGAGCUGAAUUCAGCACAUGUAUUCAGAAUUCUCAUGAUGAUCCAUCAAAUGUAGAAGUAGCCUCCCCAAUUUUUAAAACUGAUGGAGCCAGUGCUCAGCAACUAAUUCUGGAUGAAGACGGUUCUGAGCUUCGGAAACAGCUUCCAGCUUUUGUUGAUUCUGCAACUUUGGGAGGAAUGGAAUCUGCCCAUACAUGUGGCUCAAACUUAGAGACAAUAUUCUCUCCUUAUCUGGAGCCAAUCCAAAUACACAGUGAGCUAAAUGUUGACAAUGAUGCAGGGAGUAAUAAUGGCCUUGAACUGCCAGAAUUUGGGGCUGAUGACAGUGAUGAUAACAAAAGCUUAUUUGGCAGUCAAACAUGUAAUGUGUCAGAUUUCUUUAUAUCUGACAUGAUAAUUGCGAGCAUACCCUUUGAUGGAAAUGCUGUUGACAGUAACUUCACAGGGACCUAUUCUUUUCCUGAUUUUAAGUGUUCUGAGCCAAGUAUGUUGUUUGAUGUGGCCGAGCAAUGCAUGAUACUGCCUUUCCUUGAGGACACUGUCAAAGCCAAUGAUACUAACGAUUUUCAUUUGCAUGAGGAAUCCAUGAUGGCCCAAGAUAAUACUGGUUUAUGUCUAGCAAUUGAUCAGAUGAGAUCCUGCCUGCAAGAAUCUGAUGUUAACUCUGACACUGAUCAAGCAGAUGACUUUGAUCCACAAGCAUUUAUAAAAAAUUUACCAGAGCUAUCUGAUGUUGUAUCAAGCUUUCGGCCUGCUAAUGUUCUGACAGAGGCUUGGAAAAGGAAGCCGAUAACUCUUGUGCUUGAUUUGGAUGAAACUCUCGUCCACUCUACACUAGAACAUUGUGAUGAUGCUGACUUCACCUUUACAGUAUUUUUCAACAUGAAAGAGCACACUGUGUAUGUAAAGCAGAGGCCUCACCUACAUACCUUUUUGGAGAAAGUUGCAGAGAUGUUUGAAGUUAUCAUCUUUACUGCCAGCCAAAGCAUUUACGCAGAACAAUUACUGGACAUAUUGGAUCCAGAUCGAAAGUUCAUAUCUCGGCGGGUUUAUCGUGAAUCAUGCAUUUUUUCAGAUGGAAAUUACACUAAAGACUUGACAGUUUUAGGUGUUGAUCUUGCAAAGGUUGCUAUUAUUGAUAAUUCUCCACAGGUUUUCAGGUUGCAAGUGAAUAACGGGAUUCCUAUUAAGAGUUGGUUUGAUGAUCCAUCCGAUUGUGCACUAAUUUCGUUACUUCCCUUCUUAGAGACUUUGGUUGAUGUUGAUGAUGUCCGUCCUAUCAUUGCCAAGAAAUUUGGUGGAUACAUGGCAUGAUGGUUAAUGAGGAUGGUGCAUAUCACCUUUUACGAAGGUCCGUUUAUCUAACCUGUCAGCUGCUUGGCCGCAUCUGCAUGCAUUAAGGACCAGAAGAUGACAUUAGGAACUCAAAACUCCUAGACUGCUUUCUUUGAAUACAGUAAAUAGAAAAAUGGUACCCCUUGCCAUUGGAGAGGCAACAUGAGUGUUAAAGCUUAUAUUAGCUGAUAAUAAUGUUUCCUUUAAGAAAGUUGGUGAAUUUCAGUAGGAUUUUUUCUUGUAUAUUUUCACCUUCAUACCUAGGCUUAGGUCUAAAUCAAGUACACCGAACUCAGUUAUUUUUAUCUUCCUUCAAAGCCUCAGAAGUGAUUUGAAACAGUUUGCUCAGAUUAGUCAUUGUCCAAAUAGCUUCUCUUUCUCUUUUUCCCCGGAUGCACAGACACACUUAUAUUUUAGUUAGGUUCAUAGUGCUAACGCUAGGGAAGUGGAAAUAGAACAUUGUUAACAACAGCUGCCUGAAGGUUACUUAAGAGUUUAGUUAGUCAUAAAGUCACUUAAGUUUUUGAUUCACUAAAAAUUUUAUAGGAGAAGAGACAAACAUAGAAGUCUUUUCUGAUUAGGCAGAUAUUCUCUAACUGAUUGUAUAUGUACUUGCGGAUGCUUAUGUUUAAUUCAUGAUUUUAAUUCAUUGAUUUCAUUGUUGUGCUUAACUGCCAAACUAUCUCCUUGUAUUAUCUUUCUAAAGUGCAUCCUUUUGGAAUUGAUGACAUAUUUAAGAAGUGAUUGAGGUAUUUCAGGUAAGAUGGUGAUAUUGCCCUAGGGCCUUGGGGGUAAACUAUGUUGUUUCUGGGAAAGAUUUAGAUUUAAUGAUACUUAUGAUUCGAGAAUAUAGUGAUUAUGUUAAACAAUUAGUUUAAUUUACUCAGUUGCUACACCUGGACAUUUGCCAUAAAAAAGAGGUCCAGUUGGGGUGUUUACUAGGAUCUUGACACAAAGACUUUAAGAUAGGAAUGGAUUCGAAGAUGGAAAACAGUGACAUGAUCUGGGGUUCUACAGUGCAAGGAGCUACCUCCUGGUCAAGGUGGUUUUGGUUAAAUUAUAAGAAGAUUAUGGAGUUGAGGUCAUAUUGCCAUCAGCAAAAUUGGAGAGUUAAAGAGAAGAGGCUUAUAAGAGUUGUAGCUACACUGCUUGUCAUAACAUCUGUUGAAUGCUUUGAGUUUGAUCAUCUUAACAGUUUUACAGUUUUGCAUGCCUUACGUGCAGGUCUUAUGAUGAACAUUACUAGAUUAUCCGCUAAUGGCAAAAUAAUAGGCAUGUAUUUAGUACAUAGAAGCACUGAAGAAGAUGAGAUCCACCAGUUAACACAGAAAUGAUGACUAUAUGAGUAAGAUAGUAGUAGUUGAAUCCCUCAAAAAACUAGUUAAAAAAUCAGAUUAUGUCAAUAAAUAUGUAUAUUCUUCAAGAUUUUAUUCAUAAUUACUGGCAUUUAAAUUUGUAAUUAUAGCUAAUAAUAAUUUAGUUUCAACUUUGUUUUUGGUA
Gossypium raimondii (Peruvian cotton) is the source of this 3205-nucleotide RNA transcript. RefSeq lists it as uncharacterized. NCBI's taxonomy places the organism in Eukaryota, Viridiplantae, Streptophyta, Magnoliopsida, Malvales, Malvaceae. The record is from RefSeq and is a predicted model, not a curated record. The transcript has 9 exons.